Molecule: ribosomal RNA, 253 nt
Filed under: bacterium
Lineage: Bacteria
Also listed under: 1 other name
Description: partial 16S ribosomal RNA
Rfam family: Bacterial small subunit ribosomal RNA
Source: RNAcentral
UACGUAGGGCGCAAGCGUUAUCCGGAAUUAUUGGGCGUAAAGAGCUCGUAGGCGGUUUGUCGCGUCUGCCGUGAAAGUCCGGGGCUUAACCCCGGAUCUGCGGUGGGUACGGGCAGACUAGAGUGAUGUAGGGGAGACUGGAAUUCCUGGUGUAGCGGUGAAAUGCGCAGAUAUCAGGAGGAACACCGAUGGCGAAGGCAGGUCUCUGGGCAUUAACUGACGCUGAGGAGCGAAAGCAUGGGGAGCGAACAGG